UUGGAAGUACUCCAGAAAGAGGUGGCUUAUCAUAGACUAGGUAAUCAAGAUGCAGCUGAGACAAUUGCCAAGCUGCAGGCAGAAAUAAGGGAGAUGUGUGCUGUCAGGUCUAUUAAAAAGGAGGUUGAUGUUGGAACUGCUAUAGCUCCUAACAGAAGUGUCAGUGCUAACCUCAAGGAAGAGAUAACAAAACUUCAUUCACAGGGUAGCACAAUAGCUAACCUUGAGGAGCAGUUAGAGAAUGUUCAGAAGUCAAUAGACAAAUUGGUAAUGUCUCUUCCAAGCAGUAAUCAAGAAUCCAAUGGUGAAGCAGCC
RNAcentral lists this long non-coding RNA (315 nucleotides) under Gossypium barbadense (sea-island cotton). RNAcentral describes it as "long non-coding RNA (GBAR_LNC005974)". The record is from RNAcentral. Lineage: Eukaryota; Viridiplantae; Streptophyta; Magnoliopsida; Malvales; Malvaceae.